AGCGCAGACGGAACUGCAAGUCUGAUGUGAAAGCCCGGGGCUCAACCGCGGGACUGCAUUGGAAACUGUAGAUCUGGAGUGCCGGAGGGGCAAGCGGAACUCCUGGUGUAGCGGUGAAAUGCGUAGAUAUCAGGAGGAACACCGGCGGCGAAGGCGGCUUGCUGGACGGCAACUGACGUUGAGGCUCGAAAGCGUGGGGAGCAAACAG
This 208-nucleotide ribosomal RNA is filed under the name uncultured bacterium. Its description in RNAcentral is "partial 16S ribosomal RNA". It matches the Rfam family "Bacterial small subunit ribosomal RNA", at positions 568 to 775 of the family's 1533-position model. The record is from RNAcentral.